Molecule: ribosomal RNA, 468 nt
Filed under: uncultured bacterium
Lineage: Bacteria
Description: partial 16S ribosomal RNA
Rfam family: Bacterial small subunit ribosomal RNA
Source: RNAcentral
GACGAACGCUGGCGGCGUGCUUAACACAUGCAAGUCGAACGGAAAGGCCCUGCUUUUGUGGGGUGCUCGAGUGGCGAACGGGUGAGUAACACGUGAGUAACCUGCCCUUGACUUUGGGAUAACUUCCGGAAACUGGGGCUAAUACCGGAUAGGAGCUCCUGCUGCAUGGUGGGGGUUGGAAAGUUUCGGCGGUUGGGGAUGGACUCGCGGCUUAUCAGCUUGUUGGUGGGGUAGUGGCUUACCAAGGCUUUGACGGGUAGCCGGCCUGAGAGGGUGACCGGCCACAUUGGGACUGAGAUACGGCCCAGACUCCUACGGGAGGCAGCAGUGGGGAAGAGUGCACAAUGGGCGGAAGCCUGAUGCAGCAACGCCGCGGGCGGGAUGACGGCCUUCGGGUUGUAAACCGCUUUCGCCUGUGACGAAGCGUGAGUGAAGGUAAUGGGUAAAGAAGCAGCGGCUAACUACGUG